GAGAUUGUUGAGUCCCCUGUGGCUCACAGAUUACUACAACACCAGUUGCAGGUACAGUUAAAGGUUACUUGACGCGAGCGCGUUGAUUGUACAUUUGGAGUUGCUUCUUCUUCUUCUUCAUCGAUCUAGGAUGGGUUCCAGGCCGGCAGCCUGGGAUAGCAAGGAUGGACGUCGUUUCAUUUUCUCGUUUGUUUUCGUCCGUAGUCGGACCCUGCUCUUACUCUUGAUGAUUAUGUAAUGUGCUGUUGUGACUCUGAUGUAGCUUGUGGCGAGUAUAAGCGAAGUCUCUAUGUAUAUCUCUUCUUUUCAGUACAUGUACUUGUAACGAUAUCCAUUCUUGCGACACGACGAGAUGCGCUUCUAUCCCUGACGAGGCCUUCGUGCCAAAUUGAGGAUAGGGUCACAUCUUGGGCGUGACAUGAGUGGAGGGUGGCCCCAUAAUAAAUAGGCAGGAAGAAACGCCAUAGCUUUUGACGUUGCAGUGCUUUCGAGAAACGCGAGACAACUAUGGCGUUGCGAGGAAGUAAAAACGCCACGGCAGACUGGUUUUUGGUGGUGGUAAGAAACGCCACACUUGAGUGUCGUUUUGUAGUGGGACAGCAACGCCACGGCUUGUGGCGUUUCAAAAAGGGUUAGAUCGUGAAAUCUUUUCAAACUGGGUUCAUUUUUUGCAUAACUUCAACAAAAAAGUUAGAACAGUGAAAAAAUCUCAACCACCGCAUCAACCUGACGACACCGUUGUUCCGUGAAUUUUGACACGAGCCCUCAUGCCGUCAAAUCAACCUAUGUGUUCAAGCCAUAUUCAUCAAUUUAUUUUAUUUCGCGUGAAUUAAAACCAAUCCCCGAGUUUCCUCGUGGUGGCCAUGUAGGCAGCCCAUUUUGGACCAACACUCAUGAGGAGCACUGGCCCGGGGGUUGAUAAUUAUCCACGGGGUAGCUAUUUCCUAUGCAUUUUUAUUAAGUUGUUAGCAAAUGGAGUACCAAUGUUGGGACUUUCCGGAAGAAUUUUAACCCAAAAUAGAUUAUCAAGGGGGUCCCCAUAACAACACCAAGCGUAUUAGGAGCGCUCCAUAUGGAACAUAACACCGGUAACCGGAAACGAGGGCCGUAAAAGUGGAACAAAACACCAAGAAAAAGGCCAAGCCUUCCGCCUUAACCAAGUAUAUAUGUGCAUUAAAUUAAAUAGAAAUAAUAAGAUGAUAUCCCAAAUAUCCAUGUAAACACAUGGAUCACCCUGCACGUGCAACUAGAACGCUAUAAGAAGGGCUGAGCAAGCGCUAACGUAGCCAAUCAAUGUUUGGUAGGAAGUGGAGGGCUUACCAUGGCAUUUUUGGGAGGCUUGCGAUCCAGGUGACAGGCAACGAUAUUUAACGAGAUAAACAAGACAACUAAGCAUAGCAAAAUUAGAAACAAUAUCAAGGUCAAUGGUCAUCUUGCGUGGCACUUCUUCUGGGGAAUAUAACUCUUGCUCUCUAGGAAUGUUCUCGAUAGUAUCCUCGUACAGGUACUCGGCACCCUGCGCUACCCAAAAUAAAAUACAACAUCCAAUGAACAAAAAGCCACGGCAUGAUGCUCAAACAAUAUGAUGCAUGAGUAUAAUGUGAAUGAAGCAAGGUAAUGCUACACUAGUCAUCUUUCUCAUGCAAUUAUUUAGUUAUUAUCAUUCCAUACAUAACCUCAUGAUUAAUUAUUUGGAGAUGCAUUAACAUGGAAAAAAUGAAUGCAUCACAAGAAAAUGAUACAGAUACAAAUAAAGAACGUCGCAAACCGAGUUACGGAUCUCUCAGGACUCUCACGACAAGGUACGGAAGGCAACGAAGAUAAAACAGAAUUUGAAAGAGGUUAUGUGCAAUUCCUUGGCAUCCGAAGUAUUCCACUAGAUUGGUCACAAAAUUCUAGGUGAAAUGAACCUAAAUAUCAUGCAAAACAAAGGGUACAACUCUCACAAAGUGCGGAACAAUUCUAUAAGCAAUUUGUCCGAAAACAGCAACAUGUCACAUUGCACAUACUAAAACUAACAGCUACAGUAAGCUUACAAGCACAACCAAGAUAUGGAAAUGAAAUGCACAUAAUGUGCAACAACUCAUUUAAGCAACAACAUGGAUAGUAGCCUCGAUCAAUGGAAAUAAAGCUCACGGGAUGGCAUAAAACCUAACGGAUUAUGACUUAGUUGAAAUACUAGUGUUACACAAGCAAAAUUAUCAUGAUGGCAUAUUGACACCAAAGAAACACUAUGUUAUAGGGACUUCCAUGGCAUUAAAUUUAACAGGGUGAUAGAGAGCAACAUGUACUACAAUUAACACGAAAUAGCAACAUCAGAUACUGCACAUAACCAUUGAUAGCAUCCACUCUAAAUGGCAUGAUGAACUAAGUAGAUUCUCAGACUUAGCAAAAUUCACAAGGUGAAAUACAGAACAGUUUUCAUCAGCAUGGCAUAUUUGACUAUAAAAAUAACUUUGACGCAUAACCUAAAUUGCAAAGUAUUGGCACAAUUUAACACAUGGCAACAUGCUCUAUCAUUCACUCCACUGCACGAGCACAAAGAACUUAUAGAUACUUAGCAAUCCACAUGGAAACAUGGCUACUUUGUGCCCCUAUCAAAUCACCAACAUUGGCAUAGCAUUUGAUAGCAAGAAUAGCACAUGUAGACAAGGUUUUUCAUGGAAAUCGCAAUACCACGGCCUAGUACCCCAAACAAACAACAACUAUCAUGUUGACAAUUUUACCAAUGGGUUCAAGAAUUGCUUCAUGCAAAAAUAACAAAAGGGCACCAUGGUGAAAAUAUCAUGCACACCAACUUGCUCAAAUGAUAACACUAAUGUCACACAUGAAUUCCUUGGAUUUUUCUACCGCAAAUUCACAUAUCGUAAGCCUAUAUUACAGCACACAAACGUGCGAAAAACCACAAGCAAAAUUGAAUCAACUAGGUAAAACCUAGUAUAUGCCAGAUUAGGCAUAUGCCCAAAUUGACAUUGCGAGAUUUGGUACUUGCCCUAAAUGGAAACAAUGCAAAAAUAGAGUAAGGAAUAAAACAAAACAAAGGAAAAAAUACACAUAGGGGGUCCCAUUGGAAGUCUCACGAGGGACCCUGAGAGCUUGCCACAUGGGUCCAAGGGCCCAUUGUUAGCCUCACAACAUUUUAAUUCAAGCAUGGAAAAAGGGGCUCAGGGGGAUCAAACCCAAACCUCUUGGUGUCACACUGCAC
Molecule: long non-coding RNA, 3205 nt
Filed under: Hordeum vulgare
Lineage: Eukaryota; Viridiplantae; Streptophyta; Magnoliopsida; Poales; Poaceae
Description: long non-coding RNA (HVUL_LNC012576)
Source: RNAcentral